Molecule: non-coding RNA, 100 nt
Filed under: human gut metagenome
Description: S10-Clostridia ribosomal protein leader
Rfam family: S10-Clostridia ribosomal protein leader
Source: RNAcentral
AAGAGCGACGAAGCGAAAGGUUGCUCUAUAACUGAUAAACACAUAGGUUAUAGAGGUUUUUUCGUGGAGCAAUGUCCAGUUCAAUGAAACCGGGCGACAA